CUUUGCUAACUCUAGAGUCUCUAAAUUGUUUUCUGCUAUGUUUUCUCACUUGUGUUUCUUACUGCAGGUAAAGGCCUUUUUAUACUAAAAGAUGAAAUCAUGAGAACCUAUAUGUAGACUAGCCACCUCAUGCUUAGCUCAGUCAGUUAGAUAAACAUUGGGAGCAGCUUAUUGCCAGCUCCUGCUUAGAAAAAACAUCUGAAAGUUAUCCCAAACUGCCAGCUCAUGCUUUGAGCUUGUUGCCCAAGUUUUAAGCUGCUCUAAGAGCAGCCACUUGCUGCACACACUUAACUUUAUGCCUGCAGGUUCUUACUUGUGGUUAGAAGUGUGUAUACAUGUGUUUCUAAUAAGCUACUAGGUUUUAAUAGAACUUCCAGCUAAAGAAAAAUCAAGAAGAAGGAGCAUAAUAAGCUAAGCAUUUGCUGGAAAUUUUGGUACAUUUGCAAGAAGUAAUGGCAGCAAAUCAAGGAAGCUAUAAUUUCAAAUCAUAAAUAAGAAAUUGAUGUAUUGUGACAUUUGGAAACAUGUAGUAAUGUAAAUAUAGUACUUGUAGCCAUCUAUGUAACCUUUAUUGAAACCUAAGCACAAGUUGUACUUUUUUCUUUUCUUUUCUUUUUGACAAAGAAUGUAAACAGGUAAAUGUUUGCUUUUGUUUGUAAGAAACACUUGUGUUCUACUCUAGCAUUUUGUUAACAAAAGCUAGUUGGUUUUUGAGUUAUAAAAACAAAUAAACCAAAAUCAGCAGGGAUCAAA
Molecule: long non-coding RNA, 753 nt
Organism: Rosa chinensis
Lineage: Eukaryota; Viridiplantae; Streptophyta; Magnoliopsida; Rosales; Rosaceae
Exons: 2
Source: RefSeq, a predicted model, not a curated record